Molecule: ribosomal RNA, 692 nt
Filed under: Phenacoccus sp. 2 JC-2021
Lineage: Eukaryota; Metazoa; Arthropoda; Insecta; Hemiptera; Pseudococcidae
Description: partial large subunit ribosomal RNA
Rfam family: Eukaryotic large subunit ribosomal RNA
Source: RNAcentral
UUCGGGGGUAAACGGACAGAGCCCGUGAAUCCGGGCGAUAGAAUUCAGAAUCGAUGGCGAUUUCGGUCGUCGUUGGUUCGAUAUUUCUGUCGCCGCGGACGUCGCGACCCCUUCGGUGUCUUUCGAAGGAGCAUACGUAAGUUCGUUGACACGUGUUGACUUGUCGGCACGUGUUACGAGUGUGUGUUUUCCUGACUGACUUGCCGGACGGUACAAAUGGUGUCUGUGGCGGCUGCAAAGUCGUCCACAGUGCCGGUCAGCGACGAUUCUUCGGGCCUCUUUCCGACCCGUCUUGAAACACGGACCAAGGAGUCUAACAUGCGCGCGAGUCGCGGGGUGUCGAGUGGAGGCGGCAGCAAUGUCGUCGCUGCUCGUUACGAUACGAAACCCGUCAUUAAAAGGCGCAAUGAAAGUGAAUUCCUUUAUUGGAAUGGGGAAGAUGGCGUUACCGAGUACACGUUUCGCAACCAGUUUGCGACCGGUCGCCCGCAUUCCUAGGGCGUUCCAAGGCCCGUCAGCGUUGCGGAUCGUCAUUCCUUCGGGGGUGGCGGUCGGGCGUUGUCGAACCGGAGCGCACCUAUAGCGUGCAUGUUGGUACCCGAAAGAUGGUGAACUAUGCCUGGCCAGGAUGAAGUCAGGGGAAACCCUGAUGGAGGUCCGCAGCGAUUCUGACGUGCAAAUCGAUCGUCUGA